Molecule: long non-coding RNA, 217 nt
Filed under: Elaeis guineensis (African oil palm)
Lineage: Eukaryota; Viridiplantae; Streptophyta; Magnoliopsida; Arecales; Arecaceae
Description: long non-coding RNA (EGUI_LNC016094)
Source: RNAcentral
CUCGCCAACCAGUUAUUGUACGAGUAGGAAUUAACUCACCCUCGUCAUUCUCUACUAUAGUAAUACCUGAUUUCUUAGGUACUACUUGGAUUGGACUAACCCAUUGGCUAUCCGAAAUCGGGUAGAUGAUACAGCAUCAAGCCAUUUUACUACUUUUUUCAUAACUUUCCGUAUAUUCGGAUUCAAUCUUCAUUGCAUGUCCCUACGUGGUUUGGCC